GAAAUAUUCAAAUGAAUUGGACAACCGGUUGUUGGGUUGCUGCCUUCCAAUUGGUAAUUUUUAAAGAAAUUUUGCUGUUUUUGGUUAUUAUCUUGAAUACUAUUAUAGAUAGCAAUAAACUGUAAACAGCGAUAAUUUUCAUCAAAGUAAGAUCUACAAAUAAGUCAACAUGACCUAAAUGGUCAAUUGACCCCUUAAGGAGUUAUUGCCCUUUAUAGUCAAAUUUUAACAAUUUUCAUUAAUUUUGUAAAUUUAUGUAAAUUUUUACCAAAUAUAUUUCUCUGUUACUAAUGGACAAAGUUCAUUAUAGAUAUAAUUGUAAGAAGCAAGAACGUUCAGUAAAGUAAGAACUUCAAACACAUCACCAUCACCAAAAUACAAUUUUGUCAUGAAUCCAUUUGUGUCCUUUGUUUAAUAUGCACAUAGACCAAGGUGAGCG
RNAcentral lists this long non-coding RNA (439 nucleotides) under Mytilus galloprovincialis (Mediterranean mussel). The record is from RNAcentral. Lineage: Eukaryota; Metazoa; Mollusca; Bivalvia; Mytilida; Mytilidae.